ACCCACAGGGUUUUGGGAACCGGAGGCAGGCGGACAGCCCCAGGAGUCAUAAUGAGAAGAAAUGCUACCUCGGUACAGUGGACGAACGUGCAAACCACACAGAAAGUUUGAAAAAGGUCUACUGGAGGCUCUGCUUUCUGUCUCACAGUGAGAGGUGUGUAAAGCAUGAGGUGACCUUGGGCAAGUUGUUCAACCUCAGUGUUAUCACCUGUAGAACGGAGAAAACAAGACUACAUACUUUGGAGGUGAGGACGCUGUAGGAAGGCAUCUGCGAAGCGGAGAGUGCACCUUUACCAGACGCGGAGUCUGCUGGCGUCUUGAUCUCGGACUUUGCAGCUUCCAGAACCGAAAGUCAAGUGAUGUGGUCAUGCUUUUAGUAAAUAAACUGGAAUUGUGGUUUUAACACUCUGCUGACCUGGGAUUGUGGUGCUGCUGCUAGAGCUACUGUCAUCCACGGGCCCAAAGAAAUCAAGGUUCAGAAGAGUGGAACCUCCACUAGCUUGAAAUUCAGUGACCGUGUUGGUAGGCAGCCACACAGAAGGUAAGCCAAGGGAGGAGGGGUUAUGUGUAAAAAGGGGUAAGACACACACUUGAACAUGCAGGUUAUAAUUAGUAAUCAUUACACAUUUUAAAAAUCAACAUUAAAACAAUGUGUACAGUAUUAGUUUUUCAUUACUAAGGACAUUUCUAAAAUAACAAUUUAAUUCAAUGUACAUUUUCUCAUGUACAAUGUAAAGAAUGUAACACUUAGUAAGGUUUUAGGAGUUCAGUUGCUUCAAUCAAAACUGGAAGCCAUACCAGAAAGACCGAAAGGAAUGCGUACCCGUUAAAGGGAAACAAUACUUUAAUCUCAACCCAACAUUAGAAAUCACUGUACAUGCCCAAAUCAAUCUUUCAUGUUAGUAAUAUUGGUUUCUAAUUAAUGCUUUUUAAAAAGUGACAAAGUUGUCAGUUUCAGGACACGCACCAAUGUGUUAACUUAGUUUAAAAUAAAAUAACAUAAUAAAGAAUGUCAUAACUACCCUACCCUGAUGUGCAACCUCAAGCUGUACUGUUCCCCUUUAACUCUGAAACAGUAAUCAGAAAUAGUAUACAUUUUUAAAGAAGUUGUUUGUUAAUAAAAAGCAUGAUGAUUUGACUGAAGACACCAGACAACAGCAAAAAGUGCAUCCAGGCUUUCCUUCAGCACUAUAUUAAUUCAAUUGGAUGCUUUCCAGAUAUCCUAGGACCCCACUAUAAGGCCAAGCUGAUAGUGUUUUUUUACAAUGGCAAAAUAAUUGCCAUUUAGACAAUGAUAGGUGUUUAGACAAUGGCUCGAACAACUUAAGCACAAGGAGUAAGAGCAAUUACAUCUUGGGAUCCACUUAAAACUUGUGGUGUCAAUACUAGAAACUAGCAUUGGUGUGUUACUUAUUUUAAAGAGCCCACAUUACAUUACUGAAAUAAGUUAUUCCUUUUUGAGGAUUUUCUUUUAAAGCCAUAAGUGAAACCAAUUAUUUUUAGAACUGCCUACUAACAUUUGGAGACACGCUUUAGAAAAGGAUUGUGAAAUUUAUUUUCUAUUUGCAUAUAGGUGCUCUAUAAAAUAUUAAAUCUAAAAACUACUUUGAGUCAAUAAACAUGGAUCUAUGCACGCUGUUUUUGGCUAAAUAAUUGUGCUUUGUGCUCUGAAGCAGCCUCUAGUCACAAGACUUUGCAUCCAAGAAAAUUCCAUAAAUUAAAACUUAC
Pan troglodytes (chimpanzee) is the source of this 1728-nucleotide long non-coding RNA. RefSeq lists it as uncharacterized. The transcript has 4 exons. Lineage: Eukaryota; Metazoa; Chordata; Mammalia; Primates; Hominidae. The record is from RefSeq and is a predicted model, not a curated record.